AUGAGACGAUUGCCUGUUCCUAUAGAUAAUAAUAAAUUGUGGAAGCUCAAACUACUUCUUCGAGUAAAAAUAUUCCUCUGGAUUUUAAACAGAGGUGUGAUCUUGACUAGAGAUAACCUGACAAGCCGCAACUGUCAAGGUAGCAAGACUUGUGUCUUUUGCCAACAUGAUGAGUCCAUUAAAUACCUAUUUUUUAGUGUAAAUUUGCUAGUGCAGGGUGGUCCAUUGUUCAAGUAG
RNAcentral lists this ribosomal RNA (237 nucleotides) under Triticum aestivum (bread wheat). RNAcentral describes it as "partial small subunit ribosomal RNA". Lineage: Eukaryota; Viridiplantae; Streptophyta; Magnoliopsida; Poales; Poaceae. The record is from RNAcentral.